CAGAGGAGGAACAGCUCCUGAUCUGAACAUAAAUGCGGAUAUUUUCUGCAGAAACUCUGUGGACACUGUGCUGUGUCUCCUCUGUGUCUGUGGACACUGUGGUGUGUCUUCUGUGCUUGUGUCAUCUCUGUGUCCUCUCUGUGUCUGUGUCUUCUCUGUCUCUGUGGACAGUGUUGAUGUUGGACACAGUGGCUCUCAUUUAUCAAGCUUGUGUACGGCAGAAAACUUGCGUACACCUUGCGCAUGAAAAUUUUGACGUGAGGAUCGGCAUUUAUCAAUCUGCACGUGAGCGUACGCGACAACCAAAUCUAACGACAGGUCUGACAUCGUGCACGCAAGUUUGAGUCAGUGUGGAUCUGCAGUGCAGCAAAUGUCUAUCUCAAAAUCAUUGAAAAACAAACCUCAAAUCUGUCAUUAAGCACAAUCAGCCAGAUUUCAUAAAGAUUAAGACAUAAAUAAAAUGAAAUAAAAAAUAUUGAAAAGGUCUAUUUGAUAACUCUGCCCAGAAACACUGCCACAGAGCAGGAGUGCCGUUUUAACAUUGCGCGCACACGUGCCACUGUGAAGUGCUGCAUUUGACUCCUAAAAGGCAGGUGUCUUUAUCUUGGUCCAGCAGCGGGGACGUUGUUGUACACUCCUGAAAGGGUGUGGGAAAUUAUUUGGGCCAGUACAGUUUUGCACAAUGUUGCACUGGUGAAUGGAGUGCCGUUGGCUGUGCCGGUGCAACGUGAAGACCCGAUGCCCAGAGAACAAUAAUGAGGAGAGACUCCACAAAGGUGCUGUACAGAGGAGACAGGACCUUACUGAUGGAUUUAGUCAUGUAAAUAUAAGUUUAGAAAGUGCUCUUGCUAUUUAUUUAGUGAUAAAAAUCCAAUACAAAUCCAUUUAAAUGUGCCUCAGGGGCAGCAACACACCGUUUGGUGAGGUUAAUAAUUAUUUUUGUUCAGCCUCUGUCAGACUCUCCAGUCUGCUCUACAUUACAAGACGCAACAAAUUAAAACUAAAUACUUUCAAUAAUAGGAGCAACGUACCCUAUGUCAUGGCAAUAAAAAAUAUAAGGCAUGUAUGAGAUAUUAAUUUAUCAUCAUGAGCAACUUAUUGACUGAUUGAUUUAAACUUCAGCCACUGUCCGCUAUUCUGCAGCAGCGCUGUUCAGCGCCACCAUAAUCCUGCUCCAGACAGGAGUUUUCUCGACUGCUUUUAUUCCAGUUUUGAUGCUUCCAAAAAGUAAAUCCUUGUUAUUUUCCACCACGCGAGGAUAUCGACUUUCAGCUCGGAAAAGUUUCCAAUCUUUCUAAUAUUUCUCCCCUUUCAUGUUUGACUUCAGUGGGCGAGGCUUCUGAAUCACAAAUAUUUAAGGGCGUAAACAUGUUAAUGACGAUCGAUUUCAGCCGCCACAUUUAUCAAGACCCGAUCAUAUGUACGCUGGGAUUGGUCAGAUGCGAACCAUUUCAUAAAUCUCAUGUGUGUCCUAUCGUAGGAUUGAUAAAGAGUGAUAAAUGAGGGCCAGUGUCUGUGUCUCCUCUGUGUCUGUGUUCAGAGCUGAGUGUGACCGGAGUGGGCUCUAUCUGUGUCUUCUCUGUGUCUGUGUCCUCUCUGUGUCUGUGGACAUUGUUGACGUUGGAUACAGUGUCUUCUAAAGGCUGUUUGCUGUUUGGUUCAGGUCCCAUAUUUGGGUCCUGGUGUUGGACUUUGUUCUAAUCCGGUACAUAGAGGCGGGUCAGAGCAGGAUUAUGGUCCACUCUCAUACAGCGAAAUUAUUAGAAUAAUGGAGAAAACACUGAAAACAGAGAACAACACCGUCCAAUCACUGCAAACUGCUUUAAAAGCUGGGAUAAUAAUAACAAUUAUUAUUACUGUAAUUAUAAUGGACACAUAGAAGACAGCUGACAACACCGUUUAAUCACAGCAAACUGCUUUGAAGGCUUGUAGAGAAAGAAAUGAUAAUAAUAAUAAUAAUAAUGGUCUCAUUUGUGUUUUAACUGUGAGCUGAAUUAAAUUUAUGGUCAAGCAUUCAUUGUGUUUUUUUCCGUAAGAUCAGAAGAACUUAAUUUACUGUUGAAAUCUGAUAGAAUUGUUUUGAUUUGGAAAUUGACAAUUUCACUAUUAAAGAAUGAUUUAUAUUACUCUGUCUAUAUUACAAACCUUGACCUUAAUAUAUGUGGAAAAAAAAUCAGACUGUCAUCAGAGCUUCAUUAUUCAUGUGACGAUGAAGUUCCAUCAUGAUAACGAAGUAAUUAAGAUAUUUAGAGUCAACUUUAAAAAUCAAAACAAGAGAGGAGACAGUCGUAAACUUGGUUAAUAAACUGGUAGCCAUGGUUUAUUUUUAAUGAAGUCCACAUUUAUGAUUCAUCCACAUCAGCAGACAUCCCUGUCUGAAGCUUGAAAACAUGUUUAUCAUGUUUUUCUGACAGUUUACUCUUAAACUCUGUUUUUAGUCUCAGCAGAAGCACAAGCUGGUCUCAGGGUGGACCUCAUGAGUCUUCAUGAACUUCUCCUCCGACCACAAACCAAAAACCCCUAACCCUCCUCAGUUUAUGAAUGCAGAGUUUAACUCGAAGGUAAGCCUGAUUCUGGACUGAUGCAGAGAUUACCGACUGAGUUAACAAUAAUUUAUACUAAUCUAAAAAAGAAAAGACAGAAACUGUCUAUUAUUCUUCUGUGAGGUUUGUGUACAGUUUGAUGCCCCCUGUGGACAAAGUAAUUUUUCUCCUGUACUUGUGAAAGUUUUCCCGUCCUGCGAUAUUGCAGCAUUUAUUUUUUCACAUCAUGGUCGAUUUUUCUAAAGUUAACCAUACUGUGUGUCCACUUCUGACCAGUCAGAUUGCGUGUUGUUAUGAAGUCUGAUUCACCGGUAUAUCCAACAUGGCCAACCGGCUGAUUGUUUACGUGUGGGAGAACAGAGUGCUUUUUGAUAAAAAAAAACACAAAUAUUACAAAGAUAAUGACCUGAAGGACAACUUGUGGAGAGUCAUAGCGUCGGAUCUCUCAUAUGACGAUGGUUUGUGUGCUUUAACAGUUUGCUAAACGUCUUUGUUUUAACUUUCACCUUUGUUUUAACUUUCACCUGUGCUAAUGUAAGCUAAUGGUUGUCACCAUAGUUUCAUGUGCUUAUCUGGUAUGAUGGUAAGGGAAGGUCCCGCCCUCCUUCUCCUCUGAUUGGCUAUAAGUGCUGACCGUUUGGCUUCAGCGUGUGAUGACAUUUCCAGCUUUUCUAGCCAAUCAGAAGCAAAGGAGGCGGGACUUUCCCCGGGAAAAGUCUUCCCUGGGAUGUGUCUAUUUUCCCCCCGGAAAGUCGCAAAUUCGCAUUGGGCUUGAUGUACAUAGUCAGGCGCGUCAAAAUUUGCCUCAGAAUGUUUCGUAAUUUCGCAUUCUAUAUUCGCGUCAGCUCCGAUGUGUAAGGACCUUUGGUCUUUAAACAGAGUUAUUGGUUCAGCCUGCUGUCAAUCAUGUGCUGUGACUCUGCCCCAUAAACCCAACCCAGUAUCAGCAGCGGUGUGAGGACCUCCUCUCACUGUCAGCUCUCUUUUUUGAUAUUUAUAUUAAUAAAUUUGUCUGGUCAGUUUUAUUUAAGCUUUAAUUCCUCAGUCUGAAACAUUCACACAGUGUUACUUAUGAAGCAGUAAUGACCUUUGACCUGCUAAAAGCUAACCUGGAGGUUUGUCAGGAUGGUUCUGGUCUCAGAUUUUGGGUCAGUUUCAUAAUGAGGUUAUAUGACAUAACUUUAAUAUGGAAGAGGAUUACAGACAAACACCGGGUCACUAAAGGACACUGAGAGAGACCGCAGCUAGACAACUUCAGUCCAGAUGUCACAUUUAUCUCCAGGUCACAUUCCAGCAGAAACAUCCGAAAUGUGGACAUCUGUGCAAAGAAAGGGCAGAGAUUUUCCCCCUUUUCUUUGUCUGUGUCUUUCAGUGUCUGUCAGUGUUUGUCAGUGUUUGUGCGUGUUUGUCAGUGUU
This is a non-coding RNA of Xyrichtys novacula (pearly razorfish), 3959 nucleotides long. The record is from the annotation of a GenBank genome assembly. Lineage: Eukaryota; Metazoa; Chordata; Actinopteri; Labriformes; Labridae.